This 253-nucleotide ribosomal RNA is filed under the name uncultured bacterium. RNAcentral describes it as "partial 16S ribosomal RNA". It matches the Rfam family "Bacterial small subunit ribosomal RNA", at positions 524 to 776 of the family's 1533-position model. The record is from RNAcentral.
GACGUAGGAUGCAAGCGUUGUCCGGAUUCAUUGGGCGUAAAGAGUUCGUAGGCGGUUUAUCAAGUCUGAUGUUAAAGCCCGAGGCCCAACCUCGGAGAAGCAUUGGAGACUGAUAGGCUUGAGUGCGGUAGAGGCGAGUGGAAUUCCUAGUGUAGCGGUGAAAUGCAUAGAUAUUAGGAAGAACACCAGUUGCGAAGGCAGCUCGCUGGGCCGUUACUGACGCUGAGGAACGAAAGCCAGGGGAGCGAAUGGG